Transfer RNA from Planctopirus limnophila DSM 3776, 82 nucleotides. It matches the Rfam family "tRNA". From Rfam's summary of the family: Transfer RNA (tRNA) molecules are approximately 80 nucleotides in length. The record is from Rfam. Lineage: Bacteria; Pseudomonadati; Planctomycetota; Planctomycetia; Planctomycetales; Planctomycetaceae.
GGCGGAGUUCCCGAGCGGUCAAAGGGGCCAGACUGUAAAUCUGGUGGCUAUGCCUUCACAGGUUCGAAUCCUGUUUCCGCCA